GCCAAAAAUCUAGCCCAACAAAUACGCAUAUCACUAAACCAACUUACCUUUUUAAAUAAAACAUUCUUACAUCUUAGUAAAGGCGAUUGAAAAAUUUAUUGGAGCUAUAACAAUAGUACCGCAAGGGAAUGAUGAAAUACUCAAUGAAAAAUCUUCAAGCAAUAAAAAGUAAAGAUCACCCCCUGUACCUUUUGCAUCAUGGUUUAACUAGUCUAAUCAAGCAAAAAGCACUUUAAGUUUGACUUCCCGAAACUAAGUGAGCUACUUCGAGGCAGCUUUUAGAGCGAACCCAUCUCUGUAGCAAAAGAGUGGGAAGACCCCCAAGUAGCGGUGACAGACCUAACGAACUUAGUGAUAGCUGGUUACUCAAGAAACGGAUCUAAGUCCAACCUGAAUUUUCUUCAUAGUACAACAAAACAGACAUCUUUAAAUUCAGAGCAAUUCAAAUAAGGUACAGCCUAUUUGAAACAGGACACAACCUAAACUAAUGGAUAACAACGGCUUCCAAUACAACAAAGUGGGCCUAAAAGCAGCCAUCUUUAAAAUAGCGUCAAAGCUUAAUUGUUAACACGCCUAAUUACUUCACCUCUAUGUAAAUCCUCUACCCCUACUGAGUAAUUCUAUACUACUAUAGAAAAUUUUAUGUUAAAACUAGUAACAAGAAGAAGACCCUUCUCUUAAAUGCAAGUGUACAUCAGAAAGGACAAACCACUGAUAUUUAACGUAAAUGAGACCAAAGUAAAAACUCAACAAGAAAACUUUACUACAACCUACGUUAACCUAACACAAGAGCAUUACAAGAAAGAUUAAAAGAAAAAGAAGGAACUCGGCAAAUAUUAACCCCGCCUGUUUACCAAAAACAUCGCCUCUUGAACCCCAUAAGAGGUCCAGCCUGCCCAGUGACAAUGUUCAACGGCCGCGGUAUCCUAACCGUGCGAAGGUAGCGUAAUCACUUGUUCUUUAAAUGAGGACUAGUAUGAAUGGCAUCACGAGGGUUAUACUGUCUCCUUUUUCCAAUCAGUGAAACUAAUCUUCCCGUGAAGAAGCGGGAAUGACUCUAUAAGACGAGAAGACCCUAUGGAGCUUAAAACAACAUGGCACUUACCACACAAAUCUCUAAUUCCCGAAUACCUUAUUAUCUAAGUAAACUGUCCAUAAGUUUUUGGUUGGGGUGACCGCGGAGCAUAAAAUAACCUCCACAUUGAAAGAAUCUUUUCUUAGUUAAGAUCUACAAAUCUAAACAUCAGUAUUCUGACAUCUAUUGACCCAAUACAUUUGAACAACGAACCAAGUUACCCUAGGGAUAACAGCGCAAUCCACUUCAAGAGCCCCUAUCGACAAGUGGGUUUACGACCUCGAUGUUGGAUCAGGGUAUCCCAGUGGUGCAGCCGCUACUAAAGGUUCGUUGUUCAACGAUAAAA
This 1421-nucleotide ribosomal RNA is filed under the name Anaxyrus debilis (green toad). RNAcentral's name for it is "partial 16S ribosomal RNA". It matches the Rfam family "Bacterial large subunit ribosomal RNA", at positions 23 to 2592 of the family's 2925-position model. Lineage: Eukaryota; Metazoa; Chordata; Amphibia; Anura; Bufonidae. The record is from RNAcentral.